GGGCCUGUAGCUCAGUACGGUAGAGCGGUGGGCUCUUAACCCAUUGGCCAAGGGUUCAAAUCCCUUCAGGCCCGCCA
RNAcentral lists this transfer RNA (77 nucleotides) under Candidatus Methanomethylicus mesodigestus. RNAcentral describes it as "tRNA-Lys". It matches the Rfam family "tRNA". Rfam says of the family: Transfer RNA (tRNA) molecules are approximately 80 nucleotides in length. Their secondary structure includes four short double-helical elements and three loops (D, anti-codon, and T loops). Further hydrogen bonds mediate the characteristic L-shaped molecular structure. tRNAs have two regions of fundamental functional importance: the anti-codon, which is responsible for specific mRNA codon recognition, and the 3' end, to which the tRNAs corresponding amino acid is attached (by aminoacyl-tRNA synthetases). tRNAs cope with the degeneracy of the genetic code in two manners: having more than one tRNA (with a specific anti-codon) for a particular amino acid; and 'wobble' base-pairing, i.e. permitting non-standard base-pairing at the 3rd anti-codon position. Lineage: Archaea; Thermoproteati; Thermoproteota; Methanosuratincolia; Candidatus Methanomethylicales; Candidatus Methanomethylicaceae. The record is from RNAcentral. RNAcentral also lists the same sequence under 2 other names.